UUGCUUCCCUAACCAGACAGUAAAUUCUUGGAAGGCAGCCAAAGGCCCUGGUUGCUUAUUUAUCUCCUCCAGAGCAAUUAGCUCAGUUCUGCAAGGAUGAUAGACAUUUAACCAAGAUUUACUGAAUGAAUGCCUUGAAACAUGGAUGCGUUACAGAGCUAACCAGGAUUGCCUGCAGGGUUUGUGAAGAUGUGCAAAUAAUCACCUUGUCUUAAAUCACUACUGAUGCCAAAAAUACGAUCCUCCUAUUAGGCUUAAAAGUCUAGGGACCGGGAAACUAAGAACGGCGGCGGCACGCGCCUCAAGGGUGCUGGGACGC
Molecule: non-coding RNA, 319 nt
Organism: Vicugna pacos (alpaca)
Lineage: Eukaryota; Metazoa; Chordata; Mammalia; Artiodactyla; Camelidae
Source: RefSeq, a predicted model, not a curated record